GUGCCAGCCGCCGCGGUAAUACCGGCAGCCCGAGUGAUGGCCGAUCUUAUUUGGCCUAAAGCGUCCGUAGCUGGCUGCGCAAGUCCGUUGGGAAAUCGACGCGCUCAACGCGUCGGCGUCCGGCGGAAACUGAACGGCUUGGGGCCAGAAGACCUGAGGGGUACGUCCGGGGUAGGAGUGAAAUCCCGUAAUCCUGGACGGACCACCGGUGGCGAAAGCGCCUCAGGAAGAUGGACCCGACGGUGAGGGACGAAAGCUAGGGUCUCGAACCGGAUUAGAAACCCUGGUAGUCC
This 293-nucleotide ribosomal RNA is filed under the name uncultured bacterium. RNAcentral describes it as "partial 16S ribosomal RNA". It matches the Rfam family "Archaeal small subunit ribosomal RNA", at positions 455 to 747 of the family's 1478-position model. The record is from RNAcentral.